GACGAACGCUGGCGGCGUGCUUAACACAUGCAAGUCGAACGGAAAGGCCCUGCUUUUGUGGGGUGCUCGAGUGGCGAACGGGUGAGUAACACGUGAGUAACCUGCCCUUGACUUUGGGAUAACUUCAGGAAACUGGGGCUAAUACCGGAUAGGAGCUCCUGCUGCAUGGUGGGGGUUGGAAAGUUUCGGCUGUUGGGGAUGGACUCGCGGCUUAUCAGCUUGUUGGUGGGGUAGUGGCUUACCAAGGCUUUGACGGGUAGCCGGCCUGAGAGGGUGACCGGCCACAUGGGUACUGAGAUACGGACCAGACUCCUACGGGAGGCAGCAGUGGGGAAUAUUGCACAAUGGGCGGAAGCCUGAUGCAGCAACGCCGCGUGCGGGAUGACGGCCUUCGGGUUGUAAACCGCUUUCGCCUGUGACGAAGCGUGAGUGACGGUAAUGGGUAAAGAAGCACCGGCUAACUACGUG
RNAcentral lists this ribosomal RNA (468 nucleotides) under uncultured bacterium. RNAcentral's name for it is "partial 16S ribosomal RNA". It matches the Rfam family "Bacterial small subunit ribosomal RNA", at positions 28 to 507 of the family's 1533-position model. The record is from RNAcentral.